AUUAUUCGCAACAGUAUAUCAAUAUAAAAAAGCAAGAGAAGUAACAUCAUUCACAACUGUACAUCAAUAUAUAAAAUAUUCACAAAAUUACACAUUGGCAUUUAUACCACAACUUCAAUAUGGAUGUCGUUCCCAAUAAAAUUAAGCCUCACAAUAGUUCAAAAAAAUGUCCAUCAGCAUGAACAUAUCACCAGUAAUAUAUCAACAGAGCCAACCUAUUAUCACAUGCACAUAAAUAUUAGACACGGAACAAAAUAGCACUUGCAUGUAUGUGGUCAUCACCUCAAAAGGGAAAUCGAAGAUCAAGACAUAAUUUCUUCAAUCACGUCAUCUCCUCCUUUUUGCUGAUGAUAUUUUUACCUAAUUACAUACAUCAUUAAGGAUAUUAGCAUCUAAUCUUAAUAUAUGAAACUUAGAUUAUUGCAAGGUAACCAACUAGACCUAUGGUUUUCUAACUAUACAACUUAUUAAUAAACGUGCCACAUGAAAUAACAUCACAUUUAAUCAUGCAAUGACCAAUUACAGUACAAACUUUUCCUUAAUUACCGUAUUAAGAACUUCUUGCAUGUCAAACUAAAUUUAUGCAUUUGAAAGUCCUAACGCUGAUCUACAAUACCGUCAAAUAUUUGUUGUCCAAAUUCCGGCUCUAACCCAACCUAAACUUUCAAUAGAAGUACUAAUUAUGACUUAAUGACAAAAGUAGCAACAUUGUGCAUGUCAAGAAAAUUACUAGUAAUGGACACGACUAACACUGAUCUACAACAUCUCCAACUUACUCUUCUAAAAAAUACUAUAAAUGCAGCAUAUCUCGUCUGGAAACAUUUCUAACUUCUAAGCAUAGCUAAUGACGAUCUAAAAAACUAGCCAAUUUCCACCGUGCAUGCCCAAAAAAACCAUGUAUUGCAAAGCUCAUACCUUGAUCUUCAAAUUCGUAGUUCACUUCGCACGACAAAUCAUACUCCAGGAGUUCCGAAUGACUCCACAGAGUGAUGAAAUAAAGCCUAAAACAACAUAGAAUACAUACUUAGGAACUAAUCAAACAGAGUAAAAACAUCAUGCAUGCGAACGAAACCAACAAAGGUGGAUAGAUCUUACCUUGAUCUAUCUUUUCUUCAACUUCAAAGUUCAACUGUAAAUCGCCC
Molecule: long non-coding RNA, 1142 nt
Filed under: Triticum aestivum (bread wheat)
Lineage: Eukaryota; Viridiplantae; Streptophyta; Magnoliopsida; Poales; Poaceae
Description: long non-coding RNA (TAES_LNC024571)
Source: RNAcentral